Molecule: long non-coding RNA, 2129 nt
Filed under: Citrus maxima (pomelo)
Lineage: Eukaryota; Viridiplantae; Streptophyta; Magnoliopsida; Sapindales; Rutaceae
Description: long non-coding RNA (CMAX_LNC003877)
Source: RNAcentral
UCAAAUCUCAAACAAUUGAUAUUGUUUGAACCAAUGUGAGAAUUAAAUAAAUUAUUAAUAACUAUCAAUUGUUUGAACCAAUGUGACAAUUAAAUAAAUUAUUGAUAACUUACAAAGUCACAUAUUAAUUUCUGAAUAAAUCUCUCACCAGAGCAAGGAACCAUCCAGCCAUCUCAGUUUUGCCCAUGUUAUUUCAUUUUCAGCAUAUGGAACGAAAUCAAUUCUUUAGGGCUGGGCUUGUUUCAUCUAUUUUUAUAUCAGUCGUGCUCCUGCAAAUAAAUGAAGCAAAUCUCAUAAACAGCUACAUCUAAAGCAAAACAAUGCCAACCCAUCACAGGCCUAACCCUAGAUCAAAAAUUUCAAUUGCCUAAGUUAGUUGCUUCACACAGUGGACUGAGCAACCAACUUGGAGAUUUUAAUAAUGCAAUUAUAAUGGUUGGAAUUGUCAAUUUUCUCCUAUCGUGUAUAUAGAGCUACUACAUUAACAUAUUAUACUCUAAAAACUAUAAUUGCUUGCAUAAUUCUUAGCAACCAUCACAAUUGAGGAAUUAAUCCAUUUAUGCAACCAUCCCACAAACACAAAUAUUCUUGCCAUUUAUAUUGAUGCUAAAUUAUUAUAAUUUGGUUACACUAUUAUCAUCAUCAUUACUACGUCAAAAAGUUGCAUCACUACUACAUAAAAAAGUAGCACAAAUAUUAAAAAAAAUAUAUGCUUUGCAAAAGAUAUUAUCAUCUUUAAUAACCCAAAAAAAAAAACCGAUCCUUAACACUUUCCCCUCUAUGUCAGCAAAAUAAUAUCACUCCUUAGUUUAUCAUAUCUCCAGACCUGAUUUAUAAUAAUGAUUGAAAAAUUAUGGAUAUGUUAUCAAUCAUUUAGCAAAAAUAUCAAGGACUAACACAACAUCACAACAAUGGAUUGAUUAUAGACCUGUGUAGACAAAGUUAGAGACAACUUACUGCUAUAAUCCUUUGAGCUGCAGGCAAGGCUGAUGCUUUCAAACAGGUUUUCGGAAGAGUCAUUUGUUUCUUCUUCAUCAAGUAAAUCCUACAAACAUGGAAGAAUGAAAUUGCCAACUUCUACAAGCAGUAUUUAAAAAGAUUACAUAGAUUCAAAUUAAAUUACAGGGUUGAAUUCAAUAAAGGGAUAUUACCAGAAUAACUUCUUUUACCCUUGAAAUAUUGAAAUCACUCUUUUCUCUUCUAUGAAAAAAAAAAUUCGUAAAUGGACACAAUCCUCAUAAACCCAAAAUUACUCUGGAUGCAUAACUACAAUUGAAAUUCCAUGACUAAAAAAAAUUAAUUAUUCAAUUUAUUCUCUUAAAUGCUCUAUUAAAGACAAAUAAUUUUCUCUUGCAAACAGUUAAAUUUCAAAAAUAAAAAAUACUCAUUGCAUCUUUCAAGCAGGACUAGGUCCAUAAAUAUUCUCUCUAGAUUUUCUCAGCAAACAAACAAAAAAAAGAAAUAAUACAGAACAAAAAUAAAAAGAAAUAAUAUAGAACAAAAAUGAAAAAAGAGAAAUGAACAUCAAUGGACGAAGAAUUAUCGAACUGAAUGUGAUCCCAAAGCUUCACAAAGAUCUCGUGAUUUCUAUACAGUGAACCGGGAAGGGGAGUAUGGCCCACAAAACCAGGAUUUGCAGGGUCGGCCCAGGGUUUCGGUGCGUUGAUUGAAGGUCGUGAGGGCUUAAAGUUUCCUUGUGCUGAGUGAGGUGAAAUGAAGAAAUAGAGAGACCUACGAGAAAGAAUUUCAAUUGAAAAUUUCUUUAUCUCCAAGCCGGGACGAGGGACAACACUGAAAAAAUCGAAAAUUAAAACUUUAUCUAGGACUAAAUAAUAAUGAAUUUAAAAAAAAAUUGAGACAAUUAUAUGAAGAGAGAGAGAGUCACCUCUAGCGAAAGAGCUUCGAGCUUAGAUAUUCUGUUUCUUAUCUUCAAUAUUGUUAGGGUUUAUCAGGGUUUCUUGUCUUCAAUCUUCCAUCUUUGUUAGGAUUUCUUCGAACUAUUCUUGUUUGGUUUAAAGUGUAUUUGUUUCGUCUACUUGGUUUGAUUUGGGAAGAUUUCCGAAUGAUUUAGGAAGAGAGGCAAUACGAAGAGAGAGAGAGAGGGAAGACGAAAAGAUUUCAAAAUUUUC